GUCCCUCCGACAUCCACCUGCCGGAAUCUUAGCUCCCUAUUCCGGAGCCAAUUCAGUCUCUGAGCACUCUCAGAUGACUCAAAGCUUCUUCAAACUUCAUCACCGGUACCGAUUUUGUGAGAAUAUCAGCCGGAUUCACCAAAGUCCCGAUUUUAGUCACAGUCAAUGAACCAUCUGCCACCACGUCUCGAAUGAAGUUGAAACGCACAGCCAUAUGCUUUGUCCUCGAAUGGAAGACGUUAUUCUUAGCCAAACAAAUCGCACUCUGUGAAUCACAGAAGAUUUCAACACUUUUUUGAGGAAAUCCCAAUUCACUUGUAAUUCCCUUUAACCACAACGCUUCUUUUGCUGCUUCUACUAGGGCCAUAUAUUCAGCUUCCGUUGUUGAUACAGCUACUAUAUGUUGCAACCCUGAGCGCCAGCUGAUUGUGUUUUCUCCUGCUUGAAACACAAAACCUGUGAUAGAUCGACUCCUAUCAAGGUCAGCUCCAUAAUCACUAUCACAAUACCCUCUCACUUUAAAUUUCUCAGAUUUCUUGAAUGUCAGACUCAGAUCCUUAGAAUCCCUGAUGUAUCUGAGAAUCCAUUUAACAGCUUCCCAAUGAUUUUCAUUAGGAGAUCCCAUAAAGCGACUGACCAUACCAACUGCAUAAGCAAGAUCAGGGCGAGAUCCCACCAUUGCGUACAUUAGACUCCCAACAGCACUGGAGUAAG
This 714-nucleotide long non-coding RNA is filed under the name Capsella grandiflora. Its description in RNAcentral is "long non-coding RNA (CGRA_LNC000229)". The record is from RNAcentral. Lineage: Eukaryota; Viridiplantae; Streptophyta; Magnoliopsida; Brassicales; Brassicaceae.